Molecule: long non-coding RNA, 723 nt
Filed under: Homo sapiens (human)
Lineage: Eukaryota; Metazoa; Chordata; Mammalia; Primates; Hominidae
Description: non-protein coding lnc-OSGEPL1-4:1
Source: RNAcentral
AGGAUUGCAUUAUAAUACAUGUAAAAUGCCUGACAUUCAGAAGUUUUAAUCACAGCUAUCACACAAAAAGCCAACUGAGAUGUACCUGUAUACAGUGUCCAUAUUUCUCAAAAUGUAUUUUUGACCAACAGAUAUUUUCUGGCAAGUUUCUAUACGAAGUAUGAUCCAACUCACUUCAUCCUAAACACAGCUUCUCUCCUGAGUGUACUAAUUCCCAAAAUGCCACAACUACAUGGUGUUCGGAUCUUUGGAAUUAAUAAGUAUUGAAAUGUUUUGAAACUGAAAAAAAAUUUUACAGCUACUGAAUUUCUUAUAAGGAAGGAGUGGUUAGUAAACUGCACUGUUUCUGUGAUAAUGUGAAAUGAGAAGUAUUUACAUUGGAGGGCCAAUGGCUGGUCCUUCAAGUGCUGUUUUGAAGUGCAGAUUUCCAUUAAAUGAUGCCUCUGUUUAAUACACCUGGUACAUUUCUGAAGAGGGGCUUUAUAAGCAGGCUGGGCAGGCCCAGCUUAUAAGUUAAAGGGCAUCACAGUGAGGGUGUAGUAGAUAAAUUCAAGGAAAUAAGAGAUUUGUAAGAAACUAGGACCAGCUUAACUUAUAAUGAAUGGGCAUUGUGUUAAGAAAAGAACAUUUCCAGUCAUUCAGCUGUGGUUAUUUAAAGCAGACUUACAUGUAAACCGGAAUCCUCUCUAUACAAGUUUAUUAAAGAUUAUUUUUAUUACCGUA